RNAcentral lists this long non-coding RNA (1072 nucleotides) under Mus musculus (house mouse). RNAcentral's name for it is "long non-coding RNA chr4:133798059-133799131". Lineage: Eukaryota; Metazoa; Chordata; Mammalia; Rodentia; Muridae. The record is from RNAcentral.
AAAAAAAAAAAAAAAAAAAAGAAAAGAAAAAAAGAAAAAACCUGAAAAGGCAGUCAAGGGAAAGGUGAGUCAUUUUUUUCCCUUGAGACAGCGUUUCUCUGUAUAGCCCUAGCUGAUCUGGAACUCACUCUGUAGACCAGGCUGGCAUUGAACUCAGAUCUCCCUGUGUCUGUCCAAGACCCCCAGCCCCUAGAGAUUAAAGUUAUGUGCCACCACUGCCAGGCUGACAUGUAGCCUUUAAAGCUAAUUAAUAAGGACCUUUUUCUGAGCUCCUAGAGCAAGUUUUACAAACAAAAGAAACUAUGAGCAAAAUGUGUUUUGGCCCCCAUUAUUUCUCUUGCCAUUUCCUUCCAUACAGCUCUGGUCUCCCAGUCAGGAACCCAGUUAGUGUGGCCGCAGGAGGCUACAGCCCACUGUACUCAUGGGCACAUCUUCAAAGCUGCAGAUGCUUGUGAUGAGACACUGAUUCGCUCUUAUUGACAAAGCACUUAUAAUGUGCCCUCUAUGUCUCUGCACCUCUCUAUACUAGCAAUACACCCCGAAGUAAACACAUCUCCCUACUCCGUACAUCUAACAGGAACAAGUGACAAGCACUCUGCUAGUGAGAAAACUGGUGUUAGGCAUUGCUGCAUCACCAAGACAGAAUCAAGUCUCUCCAACCCACUUAAAAUUACUGCCAUAUAGCUCCAUAUGCCCUCAAUAAAGAAGUCUCUCGCCUAUUGUUUCCAAAUUAGAUCUAUGAAUAACAAGGCAAUUAAAGCUUCAAAGAAAAAGAGACCAGAAGUAAUUGUAUACAUACAUAUCUUUUAGUCUUUAAAGAAAAGCGCCUAACUUUGCUAGGAAUGUUUUUCAACAAAGCCUUUGUUUAUAUAUAAUAGGAGUAAAAAGAUUAAUAAAGGGAGCUGGGAAAAGGCACCACGGAUAAAGCACGGGCCACACAAGCAUGAAGACUGGAGUGCAUAUCUCUAGCACCCACAUAAAAUCUGGGCAACGCCGGGCAGUGGUGGCGCAUGCCUUUAACCCCAGCACUUGGGAGGCAGAGGCAGGCAGAUUUCUGAGUUCAAGGCCAGCC